Molecule: ribosomal RNA, 253 nt
Filed under: uncultured bacterium
Lineage: Bacteria
Description: partial 16S ribosomal RNA
Rfam family: Bacterial small subunit ribosomal RNA
Source: RNAcentral
UACGUAGGGUGCAAGCGUUAAUCGGAAUUACUGGGCGUAAAGCGUGCGCAGGCGGUUUUGUAAGUCUGUCGUGAAAGCCCCGGGCUCCACCUGGGAAUUGCAUUGGAGACUGCAAGGCUAGAAUCUGGCAGAGGGGGGUAGAAUUCCACGUGUAGCAGUGAAAUGCGUAGAGAUGUGGAGGGACACCGAUGGCGAAGGCAGCCCCCUGGGGCAAGAUUGACGCUCAUGCACGAAAGCGUGGGGAGCAAACAGG